GGGUUGUGAGGUUAAGCGACUAAGCGUACACGGUGGAUGCCCUGGCAGUCAGAGGCGAUGAAGGACGUGCUAAUCUGCGAUAAGCGUCGGUAAGGUGAUAUGAACCGUUAUAACCGGCGAUUUCCGAAUGGGGAAACCCAGUGUGUUUCGACACACUAUCAUUAACUGAAUCCAUAGGUUAAUGAGGCGAACCGGGGGAACUGAAACAUCUAAGUACCCCGAGGAAAAGAAAUCAACCGAGAUUCCCCCAGUAGCGGCGAGCGAACGGGGAGGAGCCCAGAGCCUGAAUCAGUGUGUGUGUUAGUGGAAGCGUCUGGAAAGGCGCGCGAUACAGGGUGACAGCCCCGUACACAAAAAUGCACAUGCUGUGAGCUCGAUGAGUAGGGCGGGACACGUGGUAUCCUGUCUGAAUAUGGGGGGACCAUCCUCCAAGGCUAAAUACUCCUGACUGACCGAUAGUGAACCAGUACCGUGAGGGAAAGGCGAAAAGAACCCCGGCGAGGGGAGUGAAAAAGAACCUGAAACCGUGUACGUACAAGCAGUGGGAGCACAGAGCAAUCUGUGUGACUGCGUACCUUUUGUAUAAUGGGUCAGCGACUUAUAUUCUGUAGCAAGGUUAACCGAAUAGGGGAGCCGAAGGGAAACCGAGUCUUAACUGGGCGUUAAGUUGCAGGGUAUAGACCCGAAACCCGGUGAUCUAGCCAUGGGCAGGUUGAAGGUUGGGUAACACUAACUGGAGGACCGAACCGACUAAUGUUGAAAAAUUAGCGGAUGACUUGUGGCUGGGGGUGAAAGGCCAAUCAAACCGGGAGAUAGCUGGUUCUCCCCGAAAGCUAUUUAGGUAGCGCCUCGUGAAUUCAUCUCCGGGGUAGAGCACUGUUUCGGCAAGGGGGUCAUCCCGACUUACCAACCCGAUGCAAACUGCGAAUACCGGAGAAUGUUAUCACGGGAGACACACGGCGGGUGCUAACGUCCGUCGUGAAGAGGGAAACAACCCAGACCGCCAGCUAAGGUCCCAAAGUCAUGGUUAAGUGGGAAACGAUGUGGGAAGGCCCAGACAGCCAGGAUGUUGGCUUAGAAGCAGCCAUCAUUUAAAGAAAGCGUAAUAGCUCACUGGUCGAGUCGGCCUGCGCGGAAGAUGUAACGGGCUAAACCAUGCACCGAAGCUGCGGCAGCGACACUGUGUGUUGUUGGGUAGGGGAGCGUUCUGUAAGCCUGUGAAGGUGUGCUGUGAGGUAUGCUGGAGGUAUCAGAAGUGCGAAUGCUGACAUAAGUAACGAUAAAGCGGGUGAAAAGCCCGCUCGCCGGAAGACCAAGGGUUCCUGUCCAACGUUAAUCGGGGCAGGGUGAGUCGACCCCUAAGGCGAGGCCGAAAGGCGUAGUCGAUGGGAAACAGGUUAAUAUUCCUGUACUUGGUGUUACUGCGAAGGGGGGACGGAGAAGGCUAUGUUGGCCGGGCGACGGUUGUCCCGGUUUAAGCGUGUAGGCUGGUUUUCCAGGCAAAUCCGGAAAAUCAAGGCUGAGGCGUGAUGACGAGGCACUACGGUGCUGAAGCAACAAAUGCCCUGCUUCCAGGAAAAGCCUCUAAGCAUCAGGUAACAUCAAAUCGUACCCCAAACCGACACAGGUGGUCAGGUAGAGAAUACCAAGGCGCUUGAGAGAACUCGGGUGAAGGAACUAGGCAAAAUGGUGCCGUAACUUCGGGAGAAGGCACGCUGAUAUGUAGGUGAAGUCCCUCGCGGAUGGAGCUGAAAUCAGUCGAAGAUACCAGCUGGCUGCAACUGUUUAUUAAAAACACAGCACUGUGCAAACACGAAAGUGGACGUAUACGGUGUGACGCCUGCCCGGUGCCGGAAGGUUAAUUGAUGGGGUUAGCGCAAGCGAAGCUCUUGAUCGAAGCCCCGGUAAACGGCGGCCGUAACUAUAACGGUCCUAAGGUAGCGAAAUUCCUUGUCGGGUAAGUUCCGACCUGCACGAAUGGCGUAAUGAUGGCCAGGCUGUCUCCACCCGAGACUCAGUGAAAUUGAACUCGCUGUGAAGAUGCAGUGUACCCGCGGCAAGACGGAAAGACCCCGUGAACCUUUACUAUAGCUUGACACUGAACAUUGAGCCUUGAUGUGUAGGAUAGGUGGGAGGCUUUGAAGUGUGGACGCCAGUCUGCAUGGAGCCGACCUUGAAAUACCACCCUUUAAUGUUUGAUGUUCUAACGUGGACCCGUGAUCCGGGUUGCGGACAGUGUCUGGUGGGUAGUUUGACUGGGGCGGUCUCCUCCUAAAGAGUAACGGAGGAGCACGAAGGUUGGCUAAUCCUGGUCGGACAUCAGGAGGUUAGUGCAAUGGCAUAAGCCAGCUUGACUGCGAGCGUGACGGCGCGAGCAGGUGCGAAAGCAGGUCAUAGUGAUCCGGUGGUUCUGAAUGGAAGGGCCAUCGCUCAACGGAUAAAAGGUACUCCGGGGAUAACAGGCUGAUACCGCCCAAGAGUUCAUAUCGACGGCGGUGUUUGGCACCUCGAUGUCGGCUCAUCACAUCCUGGGGCUGAAGUAGGUCCCAAGGGUAUGGCUGUUCGCCAUUUAAAGUGGUACGCGAGCUGGGUUUAGAACGUCGUGAGACAGUUCGGUCCCUAUCUGCCGUGGGCGCUGGAGAACUGAGGGGGGCUGCUCCUAGUACGAGAGGACCGGAGUGGACGCAUCACUGGUGUUCGGGUUGUCAUGCCAAUGGCACUGCCCGGUAGCUAAAUGCGGAAGAGAUAAGUGCUGAAAGCAUCUAAGCACGAAACUUGCCCCGAGAUGAGUUCUCCCUGACCCUUUAAGGGUCCUGAAGGAACGUUGAAGACGACGACGUUGAUAGGCCGGGUGUGUAAGCGCAGCGAUGCGUUGAGCUAACCGGUACUAAUGAACCGUGAGGCUUAACCUUACAACGCCGAAGGUGUUU
Molecule: ribosomal RNA, 2930 nt
Filed under: Escherichia coli O157:H-
Lineage: Bacteria; Pseudomonadati; Pseudomonadota; Gammaproteobacteria; Enterobacterales; Enterobacteriaceae
Description: 23S ribosomal RNA
Rfam family: Bacterial large subunit ribosomal RNA
Source: RNAcentral